UGGGGAAUCUUGCGCAAUGGGCGAAAGCCUGACGCAGCGACGCCGCGUGGGGGAUGAAGCUUCUCGGAGUGUAAACCCCUUUCGACCGGGACGAAACGCCCGCAAGGGCUUGACGGUACCGGUAUAAGAAGCCCCGGCUAACUACGUGCCAGCAGCCGCGGUAAGACGUAGGGGGCCAGCGUUGCUCGGAAUUACUGGGCGUAAAGGGUUCGUAGGCGGUGCGGUAAGUCGGAAGUGAAAUCUCUGGGCUUAACCCAGAGGCUGCUUUCGAAACUGCCGUGCUAGAGUGCGGGAGAGGCGAGUGGAAUUGCAGGUGUAGCGGUGAAAUGCGUAGAUAUCUGCAGGAACACCCGUGGCGAAGGCGGCUCGCUGGACCGCAACUGACGCUGAGGAACGAAAGCUAGGGGAGCAAACAGGAUUAGAUACCCCCGUAGUCC
This 437-nucleotide ribosomal RNA is filed under the name uncultured bacterium. RNAcentral's name for it is "bacterial SSU rRNA". It matches the Rfam family "Bacterial small subunit ribosomal RNA", at positions 355 to 796 of the family's 1533-position model. The record is from RNAcentral.